GUAGCUACAAGAUGGGUAGAACUCUAC
RNAcentral lists this non-coding RNA (27 nucleotides) under Bombyx mori (domestic silkworm). Lineage: Eukaryota; Metazoa; Arthropoda; Insecta; Lepidoptera; Bombycidae. The record is from RNAcentral.